GACAGCAGCAGCCGCGGUAAUACGGAGGGAGCUAGCGUUGUUCGGAAUUACUGGGCGUAAAGCGCACGUAGGCGGUUUAUCAAGUCAGAGGUGAAAGCCCGGGGCUCAACCCCGGAACUGCCUUUGAAACUAGUAGACUUGAAUCUUGGAGAGGUCAGUGGAAUUCCGAGUGUAGAGGUGAAAUUCGUAGAUAUUCGGAAGAACACCAGUGGCGAAGGCGACUGACUGGACAAGUAUUGACGCUGAGGUGCGAAAGCGUGGGGAGCAAACAGGAUUAGAUACCCGCGUAGUCCCUGUCUCUUAUAC
RNAcentral lists this ribosomal RNA (306 nucleotides) under uncultured bacterium. RNAcentral describes it as "partial 16S ribosomal RNA". It matches the Rfam family "Bacterial small subunit ribosomal RNA", at positions 507 to 807 of the family's 1533-position model. The record is from RNAcentral.